AUGUAAUAUUAUUAGGCUGUAAAAGCAUGAAAUCUUGUCAUUUGCCAUGAGCUGGAUGGAGCGAGAGAAUGUUAUCCUGGGUGAAAUAAGCCUUUCAGACAAAGACAAAUACCAGAUGAUUUCACUAACACAUGGAUAUAAAACAAAACAAAGCGGGGGGGGGGGGGCGGGGAGGAGACAGUGACAAACAGACUUUUAACUAGGAAACAAACUGAGGGCUUCCAGAGCAAGGUGGGGAAUGGGUGAAAGAGCUGCUGGGGAUUAAGAAGUGCACCUGGGAUGAGCACCGGAUGACGUGUGGAGGGGUUGCUCUAUAUUUUACACCUGAAACUAACACUACACUGUAUCUUUACUCACUGCAAUUUAAAUUAAAGAUAACGUACGUCAAUGACAGGUACCUACCAGGUUUUCUGUAGUUUGCAAUCACUUCACUAGGUUCGAAAAAUAACCAUGAAAUUUUUGAAAAAGCAUGUAUGAUGUGGGGGACAGUUUGUGCCUUUACCUCGGUCACUGGUUUCAGCAGAACUUGGAAAAUGGGUCCUAGCUCAUACUUCUAGGAGUUCCCAGGAAGAGAAUUUCAUGUAUUCAUGUCCUAACGGAAUGCAGCUCCCGUUCUUCUGAAUUUCUGUCAGGGUUUCUUCCCGGAAACUAGCCUGAAUCUGGAACAAACCAUCGACUGCAUCGAUGAGGUGAUGUCGUGGGACCCUGCAAUCCACGAGACCUUUAGUAAAAUACAUCUUGUUCAAAUACUGUCCGGGAAGGGGAGGAAUGAAACACGGGAACAGCUCAGAAAAUGCAAGGGCCUGGGCAGCUCAGCAACCAGCUUGCCCAGGGAAGCCACCCAGCGCCCACUCCUCAGCACUCAGUACAAUAAGGCAAAUUCUCUCUGGCGACUCAGGAGAUGCCAAGUUGCUUCAGGAGAUGCCAAGUUGCUGCAAAGCUCCCAAGGUCUCCCCUGGGGCGGGUGGCAGAACCCGCUGGAAACACAGCUCUGCUCUCUGUCCUGAGACAGCAGUAGAGGCCCUGUGUCCUCUGGGAGCAGCAGCAGCCCUUCCUGCUCUGAAGUGCCCUGGGUCAGAAAAG
Molecule: long non-coding RNA, 1083 nt
Filed under: Felis catus (domestic cat)
Lineage: Eukaryota; Metazoa; Chordata; Mammalia; Carnivora; Felidae
Description: lncRNA (ENSFCAG00000052323.1)
Source: RNAcentral